GCUAAAUUUUACUCUGCCAGAUUGACACCAAGAGACUUGCAGCAAGUCUCAGAGCAGAUGAACCAAAAUGCCAUUCACAACCAACAACUCAAAGGCAUCUCUGGUGGAAAUAUCUUUGGCAAUUGGUGAAACGCAAACAAAGGUUCCAUUGGAUGAAGUACCAAUUGAUCCAACAGGUGUGUCAACAAAUGAUUUACAACCCAGCGACAUAACUAAUGAAGAG
Bombina bombina (fire-bellied toad) is the source of this 223-nucleotide long non-coding RNA. RefSeq lists it as uncharacterized. The record is from RefSeq and is a predicted model, not a curated record. The transcript has 3 exons. NCBI's taxonomy places the organism in Eukaryota, Metazoa, Chordata, Amphibia, Anura, Bombinatoridae.